RNAcentral lists this ribosomal RNA (1648 nucleotides) under seawater metagenome. Its description in RNAcentral is "bacterial LSU rRNA". It matches the Rfam family "Bacterial large subunit ribosomal RNA", at positions 1296 to 2925 of the family's 2925-position model. The record is from RNAcentral.
GCUGACAUGAGUAACGAUAAUGCGGGUGAAAAACCCGCACGCCGGAAGACCAAGGGUUCCUAUCCCAUGUUAAUCAGGGUAGGGUAAGUCGACCCCUAAGGCGAGGCCGAAAGGCGUAGUCGAUGGGAAACGGAUUAAUAUUUCCGUACUUGGUAUAAUUGCGAUGGGGGGACGGAGAAGGCUAAGCAAGCAUGGCGAUGGUUGUCCAUGUGAAAGUGAGUAGGGCGUUUGUUUAGGUAAAUCCGGACGAACAUUAAACCUGAGACACGAGACGAGUCACUACGGUGAUGAAGUUGCUGAUGCCAUACUUCCAGGAAAAGCCUCUAAGCUUCAGAUUAUACCGAAUCGUACCCCAAACCGACACAGGUGGUCAGGUAGAGAAUACUAAGGCGCUUGAGAGAACUCGGGUGAAGGAACUAGGCAAAAUCGUACCGUAACUUCGGGAGAAGGUACGCUCCUAUCUGUGAUGAGACUUGCUCUCUAAGCGGACGGGAGCCGCAGUGACCAGGUGGCUGGGACUGUUUAUUAAAAACACAGCACUGUGCAAAAUCGCAAGAUGACGUAUACGGUGUGACACCUGCCCGGUGCCGGAAGGUUAAUUGAUGGGGUUAUCUUCGGAGAAGCUCUUGAUCGAAGCCCCGGUAAACGGCGGCCGUAACUAUAACGGUCCUAAGGUAGCGAAAUUCCUUGUCGGGUAAGUUCCGACCUGCACGAAUGGUGUAACCAUGGCCACGCUGUCUCCACCCGAGACUCAGUGAAAUUGAAAUCGCAGUGAAGAUGCUGUGUACCCGCGGCUAGACGGAAAGACCCCGUGAACCUUUACUACAGCUUGGCACUGAACAUUGAACCUACAUGUGUAGGAUAGGUGGGAGACUUUGAAGAUGAGACGCUAGUCUUGUUGGAGUCGUCCUUGAAAUACCACCCUUGUAGUUUUGAUGUUCUAACGUUGGCCCCUGAAUCGGGGUUACGGACAGUGCCUGGUGGGUAGUUUGACUGGGGCGGUCUCCUCCCAAAGAGUAACGGAGGAGCACGAAGGUUGGCUAAGUACGGUCGGACAUCGUACGGUUAGUGUAAUGGUAGAAGCCAGCUUAACUGCGAGACAGACACGUCGAGCAGGUACGAAAGUAGGUCAUAGUGAUCCGGUGGUUCUGUAUGGAAGGGCCAUCGCUCAACGGAUAAAAGGUACUCCGGGGAUAACAGGCUGAUACCGCCCAAGAGUUCAUAUCGACGGCGGUGUUUGGCACCUCGAUGUCGGCUCAUCACAUCCUGGGGCUGAAGCCGGUCCCAAGGGUAUGGCUGUUCGCCAUUUAAAGUGGUACGCGAGCUGGGUUUAGAACGUCGUGAGACAGUUCGGUCCCUAUCUGCCGUGGGCGUUUGAGAAUUGAGAGGGGUUGCUCCUAGUACGAGAGGACCGGAGUGAACGAACCGCUGGUGUUCGGGUUGUCAUGCCAAUGGCAUUGCCCGGUAGCUACGUUCGGAACUGAUAAGCGCUGAAAGCAUCUAAGCGCGAAGCAGGCCUCGAGAUGAGUUCUCACUAGACUUUUAAAGUCUCUGAAGGGCCGUUGAAGACUACAACGUUGAUAGGCAAGAUGUGGAAGUGGUGUGAGCCAUUAAGCUAACUUGUACUAAUUACCCGUGAGGCUUAACC